RNAcentral lists this unclassified non-coding RNA (378 nucleotides) under Hevea brasiliensis (rubber tree). Lineage: Eukaryota; Viridiplantae; Streptophyta; Magnoliopsida; Malpighiales; Euphorbiaceae. The record is from RNAcentral.
AAUAUGUUAUUUCUGAGUCACAUAAAGAAACUGUGAAUAUUUUAUAUUUCCCAGUUAAAAUCUUGCUUCAUGCUUCCUUUAUCUCUUUUGUACUUUCAUUGCCAGCCUUGUAGUUGGGUCACUUUCAAGCUUAAAUAGCCUUCUAAAGACGAAAAAUAGUUAGACAAGUGGGUCGUUCUAUUCAGUAAAAUUGUUAAAGUGAUGCCUGGCAGAUUGAGAUGGAUUUGGGAUACCCCAAGUCUGUUCUGUGGUUUCAGCAAACAUAAUUUGGACUGAACUUUUUAAAAUAUAGUUUUUUACCCUUGUGCUUGUUACUUGAAAUGGAAUGAUUUGAGUGUGGAUUGUAUGACCCUGCUCUUUUGUUUCAGCUGGUUGUUG